CUCAUAUCAUAUAGAUAGGCCAAUCAUCUACUUUUCCACAACUAAAACAAACUACAAGACUCUUGUAAAUUUAAUCUGCACAUUUAGGUGAAGAAGUUAUUUCUAGUUUGGUCCGAUGAAUCAUCUUUCCCACGACCAUUCCGUAGAUGAAUAUGGUUACGAUCAUUGAAAUAGAAUACAUAAUGAUUUUUUUUUUUUUUAAAUUUUAAUUUCAGGCUUGUUUUUGCAUACUCUAAAUCCGUCAACAAAAUCUUAUAAUAAGAACACAAUACCCUUCCAAGUUUACGGUUUGAUGAGUUCACCUUCAUAUUCACCCCAUCCUCUAAAUUAUCUUGCAUAUUAGUCCAAUGCAACCAGAAUUACCAAUUUUCCACCCACAAAUAUCAGAAGGGUACAAAAAAAUUAUAACAUUAGUUUAACAAUGUGAAAUAUCGUUCAGUAGCUACCUUUUCUCUCUCUCGCUAGGGUUUCUACGGGAAAAGGUUUGUUCUCCGUCCGACGGCGUGUUGUCGUCGGAUGGGCUUUUUUGGUAGUUGACUGUUGUUGAUGGAAAGUGGUAGGGGAGUUUGGGGGCGCUGGGGGUUGGGCUUCGGUUCUUUCAGGUCGGGGUGGCAGAUCGGAUGAGCAACCGAGAAUUCUUUGGUCGCUGGUCUGAGGUUGGUGGCUGUUGAGGUAGGCUAUGUGGCGGCGGCUUCGAGGAGGGACUUAGACAGCAAGGGUUUUCCAGCGUUUGGUUUUGAAUGGUGGAGUUGGUGGAGCUCCCCCAUAUCCGAUUUGGAUGGGGUGAACUGUUGGUUUGGUGGGGUUUGGCCUGUAGAGCGCCGGCGGUGGACGGUUCGGGUUGGGGGUGAGCCGGUGGUGGAGCAUCUGUCUUGGAGCAACCGUCACAUGUGGUGGUGCGAUAGGGAUGAGGGGAUGCAGGUGUAGGCUGUGCAGGAAUUGGGCCCGACCCUGUUUGGUGGCUUUGAUCCCCUACUACUUGGGCUGGUGGCUAGGUUUGGGACUUUGGGCUCUUGUCUUUGGCCCUGACCUGAUUGUUUUGUUCUCUAGUGUUGUUUUUUAUUUAUGUUAUUUAGUUUGUUUGCUGCUGUUUGCGAGCAAUAAGUCCCUACAGUAGAUGUGUAGGGCUAGUCAGGCUUCGUGCUUGUGUGUGCACUCUAAGGCUAUGUUUGUUAGGCAGGAUUGGAUGGGACUGGACGAGCUUAUCUAUUAUAACAGGAGUUAUCCCAUGUUUGGCAACAACAGGGAUUCGAUUAAAUGAGAUUAUGCAGUCCGCAAGACACUCCCAACACCUUCUUACACAGCGACCUCAAAAUUCACCGGACUGUGGAAGCAAGUCUUCUACAGCGCUGAAAUCUCAUUCUUAGUCGCUCUUGACUUGAGCCUCAUCGUUCUCACUCACUUGCUUCUUUCGUCUCAGUCUCAUUCGACUGCUCUUUUUCAGGUACUCAGAUAUGCCUGGUUUAUGAACAAAGGAGCGAGUUGAAGCAUAGGAAAUUUGAAACCCAUUGCUGAUGCUUUUUUCCUAUCAGAUUUGGCAUGCAGGAAGAGUUUCAAAGAAAGAAGAAAGAGUCUCAAAGAGUGGUAAUACACCUUUAUGAAUUCUCUUCCAUCAUAAAAAGACCUGUAACCAUAAUUGAAAAGUUAGACCAUAGAAGCAUCAGGAAUUAGAUGUAAACUUGUUAAUACAACGUGAGGCACUUGACUAUCUGUAGAGUGAAAUAUACAGAGCAAGUGCAUGUAGAGUGAAAUAUGCAUCAUAAGAUGUAAACCGUUCUGUAUGAUGGUAUUGCUGUUCAAUAUGAAAUAAAGAUUAUGUGAGGCGCUUGACUAUC
Rosa rugosa (rugosa rose) is the source of this 1835-nucleotide long non-coding RNA. RefSeq lists it as uncharacterized. Lineage: Eukaryota; Viridiplantae; Streptophyta; Magnoliopsida; Rosales; Rosaceae. The record is from RefSeq and is a predicted model, not a curated record. The transcript has 2 exons.